GAUGAACGCUGGCGGCGUGCCUAAUACAUGCAAGUCGAGCGAACGGACGAGAAGCUUGCUUCUCUGAUGUUAGCGGCGGACGGGUGAGUAACACGUGGAUAACCUACCUAUAAGACUGGGAUAACUUCGGGAAACCGGAGCUAAUACCGGAUAAUAUUUUGAACCGCAUGGUUCAAAAGUGAAAGACGGUCUUGCUGUCACUUAUAGAUGGAUCCGCGCUGCAUUAGCUAGUUGGUAAGGUAACGGCUUACCAAGGCAACGAUGCAUAGCCGACCUGAGAGGGUGAUCGGCCACCCUGGAACGGAGACACGGUCCAGACUCCUACGGGAGGCAGCAGUAGGGAAUCUUCCGCAAUGGGCGAAAGCCUGACGGAGCAACGCCGCGUGAGUGAUGAAGGUCUUGGGAUCGUAAAGCUCUGUUAUUAGGGAAGAACAUAUGUGGAAGUAACUGUGCACAUCGUGACGGUACCUAAUCAGAAAGCCCCGGCUAACUACGUG
Molecule: ribosomal RNA, 497 nt
Filed under: uncultured bacterium
Lineage: Bacteria
Description: partial 16S ribosomal RNA
Rfam family: Bacterial small subunit ribosomal RNA
Source: RNAcentral